RNAcentral lists this non-coding RNA (106 nucleotides) under human gut metagenome. RNAcentral describes it as "FMN riboswitch (RFN element)". It matches the Rfam family "FMN riboswitch aptamer (RFN element)". Rfam says of the family: The RFN element is a highly conserved domain that is found frequently in the 5'-untranslated regions of prokaryotic mRNAs that encode for flavin mononucleotide (FMN) biosynthesis and transport proteins. This element is a metabolite-dependent riboswitch that directly binds FMN in the absence of proteins. The record is from RNAcentral.
UUGUCUUCGGGGCAGGGUGAGAUUCCUGACCGGCAGUAAAGUCUGCGAGCGAGAGCUGAAGCGGUGAAAUUCUGCUACCGACGGUAUAGUCCGGAUGAAAGAAGAU